RNAcentral lists this ribosomal RNA (520 nucleotides) under Ilyonectria sp. HB 14. RNAcentral describes it as "eukaryotic LSU rRNA". The stretch from base 157 to 310 matches the Rfam family "5.8S ribosomal RNA". The record is from RNAcentral. Lineage: Eukaryota; Fungi; Ascomycota; Sordariomycetes; Hypocreales; Nectriaceae.
GGGGGAUGCGGAGGGAUCAUUACCGAGUUUACAACUCCCAAACCCCUGUGAACAUACCAUUUGUUGCCUCGGCGGUGCCUGCUUCGGCAGCCCGCCAGAGGACCCAAACCCUUGAUUUUAUACAGUAUCUUCUGAGUAAAUGAUUAAAUAAAUCAAAACUUUCAACAACGGAUCUCUUGGUUCUGGCAUCGAUGAAGAACGCAGCGAAAUGCGAUAAGUAAUGUGAAUUGCAGAAUUCAGUGAAUCAUCGAAUCUUUGAACGCACAUUGCGCCCGCCAGUAUUCUGGCGGGCAUGCCUGUUCGAGCGUCAUUUCAACCCUCAAGCCCCCGGGCUUGGUGUUGGAGAUCGGCGUGCCCUCCGGGGCGCGCCGGCUCCCAAAUAUAGUGGCGGUCUCGCUGUAGCUUCCUCUGCGUAGUAGCACACCUCGCACUGGAAAACAGCGUGGCCACGCCGUUAAACCCCCCACUUCUGAAAGGUUGACCCUCGGAUCAGGUAGGAAUACCCGCUGAACUUAAGCAU